GGUCCAAACUGAGUCCUGCCACCGCCUCCCCAUUAACCUGUAGGAUUUCAUCACCAACACCCAGCAGGCCCUCCACCCUGCCAUCACCGACCUUCUCGACGUAUACACCUGGUCUGCAGUGAGGGUGUCCUCUGUAUUCGAAUGGUAGGCUGCGGUCUCCGUGUGGGGCUCGGUGAGGCAGAGCUUGCCCGUUGGAUGGUGGGGAGACUGAGCUGUUCCAUGCUGCUGGAGCGACCCCCCUUCACCAGUCUGCCAACGCUAUUCAGCCCGAUGGAGGAAAAGAAACGACGCAGGAAAAGUUUUGGCCUCCCAUCAAAUUUUCUGUAAGAGGAGAAAUGUUUUUUUCUUCUUCUUUUUUUUACUAACAUGCAAAAAUUCACCAAGUUAUUUUCAGGUUCUAAAUGUGCACAAGUUUCAUAUCCUUCUAGUUUUGAAACUAUCCUAAUGUAGAUCUGCUCCAGAAGAUCAGAAGUUCCUUCACUGUUAGCAUGCUGUCUCUGCACUGAGAUAAAUGCGUUUAAAGGAAAGAACAUAUAUGCUUAUGUAUGCUGAAGUAAACUACAGCCAAAAAAAAAAUUACUUUGUAUUCUCAUAGAUGUAGGAUGUAUAUAUGAAGAAAUAUACUCCAAAUUGUUGUUCAGAAAACUGAAAUAAAAAAGAAAAUAGUGACCUGCAGUGCA
Molecule: long non-coding RNA, 680 nt
Organism: Xiphophorus couchianus (Monterrey platyfish)
Lineage: Eukaryota; Metazoa; Chordata; Actinopteri; Cyprinodontiformes; Poeciliidae
Exons: 2
Source: RefSeq, a predicted model, not a curated record